UAUGGUCAAAUCAUGCUGAAAACACCUGUUCUCUUUCAAUCACCAAAGUUAAGCAAUGUCAAGCCUGGUCUGUACUUAAUUGGGGGACUGCUUGUGAACACCAGCUACUG
Acanthosepion pharaonis is the source of this 110-nucleotide non-coding RNA. NCBI's taxonomy places the organism in Eukaryota, Metazoa, Mollusca, Cephalopoda, Sepiida, Sepiidae. The record is from the annotation of a GenBank genome assembly.